This 474-nucleotide ribosomal RNA is filed under the name uncultured bacterium. Its description in RNAcentral is "bacterial SSU rRNA". It matches the Rfam family "Bacterial small subunit ribosomal RNA", at positions 335 to 801 of the family's 1533-position model. The record is from RNAcentral.
ACUCCUACGGGAGGCAGCAGUAGGGAAUCUUCCACAAUGGGCGCAAACCUGAUGGAGCAACACCGCGUGAGUGAAGAAGGGUUUCGGCUCGUAAAGCUCUGUUGUUAAAGAAGAACACGUAUGAGAGUAACUGUUCAUACGUUGACGGUAUUUAACCAGAAAGUCACGGCUAACUACGUGCCAGCAGCCGCGGUAAUACGUAGGUGGCAAGCGUUAUCCGGAUUUAUUGGGGCGUAAAGAGAGUGCAGGCGGUUUUCUAAGUCUGAUGUGAAAGCCUUCGGCUUAACCGGAGAAGUGCAUCGGAAACUGGAUAACUUGAGUGCAGAAGAGGGUAGUGGAACUCCAUGUGUAGCGGUGGAAUGCGUAGAUAUAUGGAAGAACACCAGUGGCGAAGGCGGCUACCUGGUCUGCAACUGACGCUGAGACUCGAAAGCAUGGGUAGCGAACAGGAUUAGAUACCCUGGUAGGAUAGCG